This 253-nucleotide ribosomal RNA is filed under the name uncultured bacterium. Its description in RNAcentral is "partial 16S ribosomal RNA". It matches the Rfam family "Bacterial small subunit ribosomal RNA", at positions 524 to 776 of the family's 1533-position model. The record is from RNAcentral.
UACGUAGGGUGCGAGCGUUAAUCGGAAUUACUGGGCGUAAAGCGUGCGCAGGCGGUUGUGCAAGACAGAGGUGAAAUCCCCGGGCUUAACCUGGGAACUGCCUUUGUGACUGCACGGCUAGAGUGUGUCAGAGGGGGGUAGAAUUCCACGUGUAGCAGUGAAAUGCGUAGAUAUGUGGAGGAAUACCGAUGGCGAAGGCAGCCCCCUGGGAUAACACUGACGCUCACGCACGAAAGCGUGGGGAGCAAACAGG